GUGGGGAAUAUUGGACAAUGGGCGAAAGCCUGAUCCAGCCAUGCCGCGUGUGUGAAGAAGGUCUUCGGAUUGUAAAGCACUUUAAGUUGGGAGGAAGGGCAGUAAGUUAAUACCUUGCUGUUUUGACGUUACCGACAGAAUAAGCACCGGCUAACUUCGUGCCAGCAGCCGCGGUAAUACGAAGGGUGCAAGCGUUAAUCGGAAUUACUGGGCGUAAAGCGCGCGUAGGUGGUUUUGUAAGUUGGGGGUGAAAGCCCCGGGCUCAACCUGGGAACUGCCUCCAAAACUGCAUGACUAGAGUACGGUAGAGGGUAGUGGAAUUUCCUGGGUAGCGGUGAAAUGCGUAGAUAUAGGAAGGAACACCAGUGGAGAAGGCGACUACCUGGACUGAUACUGACACUGAGGUGCGAAAGCGUGGGGAGCAAACAGGAUUAGAAACCCCAGUAGUCC
Molecule: ribosomal RNA, 450 nt
Filed under: uncultured bacterium
Lineage: Bacteria
Description: partial 16S ribosomal RNA
Rfam family: Bacterial small subunit ribosomal RNA
Source: RNAcentral